Panicum virgatum (switchgrass) is the source of this 469-nucleotide long non-coding RNA. RefSeq lists it as uncharacterized. NCBI's taxonomy places the organism in Eukaryota, Viridiplantae, Streptophyta, Magnoliopsida, Poales, Poaceae. The transcript has 2 exons. The record is from RefSeq and is a predicted model, not a curated record.
ACAUAUAGUAUCAUUGUUGUCAUUGUGCCUUGCUUGCUUUUUUUUUUACUGCUUUGCCACUGAUUGAGCUGAGUAGGACCACAGACACACUAAAAUAGGACAAUGUUUUUUUACUGCACAAGCAAUUAGGUGUCAGCAAUACAACAAUCUUGCAUUGAUAUGGGUAAACUGGAAAUAAGCAGACUGCCAGUGCAAAAGGAGGCCAGGGCAUGACAUCUUUUUGACUACAUAAUGGAUGGAUAGUGAUUGUUGAGAAGGCUGAGAGAAGUGAUAUUCCUGACAUCGACAAGAAAAAGUCAGUUCUCAACUUCUCUACUAGAUAUCUGAAAAUUAUUUCUACUUAGGCUGAGAGGUGAUUGUAUGGACUCUUUUGUUUAAUCUCGAUGUAUGAGCUCAUAUGGUUAAAUUUUGCUGCUAUAAUUAUAUAUUAUAUAUGUUGUACAAAUUAUGCAAUAUUAUUAUAUGAAAA